GCUGGCGUAGCUCAACUGGCAGAGCAGCUGAUUUGUAAUCAGCAGGUUGGGGGUUCGAGUCCCUCCGCCAGCUCCU
This 76-nucleotide transfer RNA is filed under the name Candidatus Aerophobota bacterium. RNAcentral's name for it is "Candidatus Aerophobetes bacterium tRNA-Thr". It matches the Rfam family "tRNA". Rfam says of the family: Transfer RNA (tRNA) molecules are approximately 80 nucleotides in length. Their secondary structure includes four short double-helical elements and three loops (D, anti-codon, and T loops). The record is from RNAcentral. Lineage: Bacteria; Candidatus Aerophobota.